This 450-nucleotide ribosomal RNA is filed under the name uncultured Streptococcus sp. RNAcentral's name for it is "bacterial SSU rRNA". It matches the Rfam family "Bacterial small subunit ribosomal RNA", at positions 929 to 1382 of the family's 1533-position model. Lineage: Bacteria; Bacillati; Bacillota; Bacilli; Lactobacillales; Streptococcaceae. The record is from RNAcentral.
GCGGUGGAGCAUGUGGUUAAUUCGAAGCAACGCGAAGAACCUUACCAGGUCUUGACAUCCCGAUGCUAUUUCUAGAGAUAGAAAGUUACUUCGGUACAUCGGUGACAGGUGGUGCAUGGUUGUCGUCAGCUCGUGUCGUGAGAUGUUGGGUUAAGUCCCGCAACGAGCGCAACCCCUAUUGUUAGUUGCCAUCAUUCAGUUGGGCACUCUAGCGAGACUGCCGGUAAUAAACCGGAGGAAGUGGGGAUGACGUCAAAUCAUCAUGCCCCUUAUGACCUGGGCUACACACGUGCUACAAUGGUUGGUACAACGAGUUGCGAGUCGGUGACGGCGAGCUAAUCUCUUAAAGCCAAUCUCAGUUCGGAUUGUAGGCUGCAACUCGCCUACAUGAAGUCGGAAUCGCUAGUAAUCGCGGAUCAGCACGCCGCGGUGAAUACGUUCCCGGGCCUU